This 443-nucleotide ribosomal RNA is filed under the name uncultured bacterium. RNAcentral describes it as "partial 16S ribosomal RNA". It matches the Rfam family "Bacterial small subunit ribosomal RNA", at positions 338 to 795 of the family's 1533-position model. The record is from RNAcentral.
CCUACGGGUGGCAGCAGUGGGGAAUCUUGGGCAAUGGGCGCAAGCCUGACCCAGCAACGCCGCGUGAAGGAAGAAGGCUUUCGGGUUGUAAACUUCUUUUCUCAGGGACGAAGCAAGUGACGGUACCUGAGGAAUAAGCCACGGCUAACUACGUGCCAGCAGCCGCGGUAAUACGUCGGUGGCAAGCGUUAUCCGGAUUUACUGGGGGUAAAGGGCGUGUAGGCGGGAAAUCAAGUCAGAUGUGAAAACCAUGGGCUAAACCUGUGGCCUGCAUUUGAAACUGUUUUUCUAGAGUUGGAGAGAGGUAAGCGGAAUUCGAGGUGUAGCGGUGAAAUGCAUAGAUAUCACGAAGAACUCCGGUUGCGAAGGCAGCAUACCGGCUCCAUACUGACGCUGAGGCACGAAAGCGUGGGGAUCGAACAGGAUUAGAUACCCUUGUAGUC